This 784-nucleotide long non-coding RNA is filed under the name Gadus morhua (Atlantic cod). RNAcentral's name for it is "lncRNA (ENSGMOG00000031555.1)". The record is from RNAcentral. Lineage: Eukaryota; Metazoa; Chordata; Actinopteri; Gadiformes; Gadidae.
CAUAUGUUAGACUACUCUUUAUAGAGCAGGUGUAGGCAGGUGAUUGGUAGCUGGUGAUUGGUGAUUGGCGGCCAGCCGCGCGUGAUUUGAGUCCUCCUGGUAGAACUACCAGCAAGCUUAACAUUUAUAUAUUCAUGUUGUCUGGUUGAAUGCUGAGUUUUUCUGUUUUAUUUCAAAGUCAUGCUGUCAAUUUCCACCAGGCGUGUAACGGCAGCGUAGCUUGCGAGCCAGACGUAUUCACGUGAGAUCACGAAAUCACGCGAUAAUCCUAAACCUAAUGUACUCACCUUCCACUCCCAAAACUACUGCAAUUUUUGUCCUUAUAAAAAGGGCAAAGCCAGGCAAAGCCAGGCUUCGUCCUUUCUGACAUUGUCCUUAUAAAAAGGAUGAUUUAUUUAAUUUGAUUUUAUAAAUUAUUUAUGUUGAGAUCUUUGUUCUGUGUUCACAUUAAAGGAUUUGAUUAAGCAAUAUUUUUUUUCAGUUUCAGCUCAAUUUAAUUUGCUGAAUGGAGCUGAUAUGGACCUGAAGGAUUCCUCGCGGGUCAAUGUGGAGGCUGAUAUAUUCGACGAACUACUGAGAUCUGCUAAAGUAUCUUUCAAGGUGUCCACUGAGCUCUCUGCUGAGAGCGAGGUGUCAGAUGCCUCCUUCGUCUCAGAAGAGGGGUUGUUCUCACCAUUCCAGCCUGUGAGGUCAUCUUCAUCAGUCGAGUCUGUGAACUCCACAGCUUCAACAGUGAGCCAAAAAGAAUGGAAAAAGUGACAACUGACUGAGGGACCACCUGACU